CGGGACGGGUGAGUAACGCGUGGGUAACCUGCCUCAUACAGGGGGAUAACAGUUAGAAAUGGCUGCUGAUACCGCAUAAGACCACAGUACUGCAUGGUACAGUGGUAAAAACUCCGGUGGUAUGAGAUGGACCCGCGUCUGAUUAGGUAGUUGGUGAGGUAACGGCCCACCAAGCCGACGAUCAGUAGCCGGACUGAGAGGUUGAACGGCCACAUUGGGACUGAGACACGGCCCAG
This 236-nucleotide ribosomal RNA is filed under the name uncultured bacterium. RNAcentral's name for it is "partial 16S ribosomal RNA". It matches the Rfam family "Bacterial small subunit ribosomal RNA", at positions 100 to 334 of the family's 1533-position model. The record is from RNAcentral.